UUCUUCCAAACCACACGGUGAAAUCGGUUCUACCUACAACAAAAAUGGAAAAAUCUGUGUGAUCCUCGGUCAUGGCGAUUAAUUAUAUCCUUGAGCUGGAGCUGCUGAGAGAAGCGCCAAAAAGCAAAAAGUUCCAAAUAAAAAAGGAUCGUGCGAUUCUUGCUCUUGACUCACUCCGCUGUUCAAAUCCCCAAAAAUCAGAAAUAUAAAAUGUCACUACUUCCGCUGCUGAAGAUUGGCAGAGUGGGCCCGGACAAAAUACUCUCAUGGGUCUCCCAACAGAUUCGACGAAGAAGAAAAGAGGCACGACCCACGAAGAAUGCAACCCACUUUUGGAAUGCAGAAGUUACCGCGAUUACCGAAACAUAAUGUACAGCAGAAUUAGCCGAUGAAUUUGCCAUGGAAUCAGAUUUCCGUCACUCCCGCUACAUCGGAUUCUCGACAAGCAGAUAUGUCCGGCGACGCGUAAUUCUCAUCUCCCACGGCUUUCAAUUUAAAUUUUGAUUAAUUUGUUAUUGGGAAAUUUUAAAAAUAAAUUUAUAGAUAUUAA
Long non-coding RNA from Armigeres subalbatus, 550 nucleotides. RefSeq lists it as uncharacterized. Lineage: Eukaryota; Metazoa; Arthropoda; Insecta; Diptera; Culicidae. The record is from RefSeq and is a predicted model, not a curated record. The transcript has 3 exons.